Molecule: long non-coding RNA, 1601 nt
Filed under: Physcomitrium patens
Lineage: Eukaryota; Viridiplantae; Streptophyta; Bryopsida; Funariales; Funariaceae
Description: long non-coding RNA (PPAT_LNC003122)
Source: RNAcentral
UUUCCUCUUCACGUUUUUACGAGCUCCAAGCGCUCCAAACUCUUUUUUAUUUUUAUUUUAUUUUAUUUUCCACUCAGUUGAAGUGUUGCGGUGCAGGACUUCCUUGCUUCUCUUAUUCCUGGUUUUAUCUUUGUAUGUGAUUUCAUCAAGUGGGCGCUAGUGUGCGUGCUUCCACGUUCUUUUGACUAGAGUGGGCUUCCGAAGGGUCUGCCACUGUUGCGGCUAAUGCAACAUUCUGGAGGUGCCGACAUUCAAGAGGAGGCGAUGUCCUCCCGUGUUUGACGGGAUGCUGGUGCAGUCGGUAAGCUGAACAAGUAGAAAUCGCUUCUACGGCUCAUUUGCAAAGGCGGCGACGUCCAAUCGAAGGUUGAUCAGGGUUCUGAUUUCGGUGCUGAUUGAAGGGGCUGGGAAUUGAUUUUACAAGGUGGGACAGAAGCCCUUAUGGUACUGUCCACCUUGGAGAUGGCUGUCGACUCUUCUUCAAUGGUCUAGGAGUUCCACGUGCACAGUGGCGAAUAGAAGAAGCGUGGAGACUUGCUGAUUCAAUUUAGAUUUGCUGGAUCGUUCAAGCUGUGUCGGUGAAACAUUGUGCAUUGCCAUGCGGUUCUGGCCUCCUUGUUGGUGUUCAUUUUUUUUCCUUGCUUGGUUGCUGUUCUGCAGCUGUGGAGAUGAACCACUACCUGUCUACGGCCAGUGUUUGUGUGGACGUAAAGCGUAGAGUCGCGGUAUAGUGAUGCACAAAUCAUGGUGUUGGCGCAAUCCCCUAGGUUGACAAAAGCUCCUCACCUUCAUCUGAUUCCCAUUCAUUAGUAUUUUGGCUUCGUUCUCGCAUUACUGUCUAGAGAAUUCUGUGAAGUCUUCUUCCCCGAAGGCUUCUUUUGGAGUAGCCAUCGAUCUAUUUCAAGUUGGCCCUUUGCUGUGCACUGAUUUUAGAUUCCUUUUCCGACACUUGGACUAGUUCAAAUUCCGAGUCUUGGAAGUCAGCACCAUCUUUAACAAUUCUAGGCUAUCUAGCUCCACCGACAAAGUUGUACACAGCUUGCCUCCCUGCUUAAUACCCGAAGGCUGAUCGAUGACGUAUGCAUACGACUUUUGUCGAGGCUUCCAAAGCCUUCUCUGCAGAUCGGUGAUGACCUGCGAGACGAGUGUAAGCCUUUGGUGAGGCUCAAGUUAGGCGACGGAUGCUGCAAAGUGGUUGUUAACGGAUAUGCAAUUCCAAAAUUUUGAGUUUUGUUGACCAUGGUCUUGGGCCGAAGCUUGUUGCUCUUCGUUAGAAGCUAGGAUCUAGAAGAAGAAUAGAAUUAGAAGUAGAUAGGCACGUAUGAAUUAUAGAAUCCACCAAAGAUUUUCUAUGUCAAGAGUCAAUAUCAGCCUAAGUUUACAAGUUAAACACCCCCCUGUUAAACAACUUCGAAGUAGUUAAGAAUCUUGGUUGGAUGAACAAAGAUAACUGGAUGAAGUUAGGUCAAUGUGGAUGAGCUUUUAAAUUGGAUGUAUUAGGAUUUGAAGUAGAUGAUAAAUUAUGGAUGAAGGUUGAUUGAAAUUUAAUGAAUUUUUAUUUAUAGAUGAAAAAUUAUUUAUGGAUGAAAACUUAUAUUUGG